UCGUGAUGCAGCCAUGCCGCGUGUAUGAUGAAGGCCUUCGGGUUGUAAAGCUCUUUUUCGGGGAGGAAGGGAGUCAAGUUUAUACCUUUGCUCAUUGACGGUACCCGCAAAAAAAGCACCGGCUAACUCCGUGCCAGCAGCCGCGAUAAUAA
This 152-nucleotide ribosomal RNA is filed under the name uncultured bacterium. Its description in RNAcentral is "partial 16S ribosomal RNA". It matches the Rfam family "Bacterial small subunit ribosomal RNA", at positions 381 to 526 of the family's 1533-position model. The record is from RNAcentral.